This 245-nucleotide ribosomal RNA is filed under the name uncultured bacterium. Its description in RNAcentral is "partial 16S ribosomal RNA". It matches the Rfam family "Bacterial small subunit ribosomal RNA", at positions 528 to 772 of the family's 1533-position model. The record is from RNAcentral.
UAGGGGGCAAGCGUUAUCCGGAUUUACUGGGUGUAAAGGGAGCGCAGACGGCAGCGCAAGUCUGGAGUGAAAGCCCGGGGCCCAACCCCGGAACUGCUCUGGAAACUGUGCGGCUGGAGUACUGGAGGGGCAGGCGGAAUUCCUAGUGUAGCGGUGAAAUGCGUAGAUAUUAGGAGGAACACCAGUGGCGAAGGCGGCCUGCUGGACAGUAACUGACGUUGAGGCUCGAAAGCGUGGGUAGCAAA